RNAcentral lists this unclassified non-coding RNA (349 nucleotides) under air metagenome. RNAcentral's name for it is "partial contains small subunit ribosomal RNA, internal transcribed spacer 1, and 5.8S ribosomal RNA". The stretch from base 1 to 46 matches the Rfam family "Eukaryotic small subunit ribosomal RNA", at positions 1786 to 1831 of the family's 1831-position model. The record is from RNAcentral.
AAGUCGUAACAAGGUUUCCGUAGGUGAACCUGCGGAAGGAUCAUUAUUGAAUAAAUAUAAUUUUGGGAGGGUUGUAGCUGGCUCUCUUAUUGAGAGUAAUGUGCACACCUUUCAAAUUAGUUAUCUCCAACCCACCUGUGUGCACUCCUUGUAGAUGCUGGAUAACAGACAACUCUUUGAAUUGUUUCUAUUGAGGGUUUGCUGUCAAUCAAGGCUGCCUUUGCUGGUUCCGGCAUCUAUGUAUUUUUAUAUACACCUAAUUUUUAGUCUUUGAAUGUGUUAUCAAAUGGCAGCAAUGUCUUUUGUUAUAAUAUUAAUACAACUUUCAACAACGGAUCUCUUGGCUCUC